Molecule: ribosomal RNA, 332 nt
Filed under: Chaetoceros curvisetus
Lineage: Eukaryota; Bacillariophyta; Thalassiosirophyceae; Chaetocerotales; Chaetocerotaceae
Description: partial Eukaryotic large subunit ribosomal RNA
Rfam family: Eukaryotic large subunit ribosomal RNA
Source: RNAcentral
AAGAAGCCGUCGAGAGAUAUCGGAAGAGUUUUCUUUUCUGUUUUAUAGCCGUACUACCAUGGAAGUCUUUCGCAGAGAGAUAUGGUAGAUGGGCUAGAAGAGCAUGACAUAUACUGUUGUGUCGAUAUUUUCUCCUCGGACCUUGAAAAUUUAUGGUGGGGACACGCAAACUUCUCAACAGGCCGUACCAAUAUCCGCAGCUGGUCUCCAAGGUGAAGAGUCUCUAGUCGAUAGAAUAAUGUAGGUAAGGGAAGUCGGCAAAAUAGAUCCGUAACUUCGGGAUAAGGAUUGGCUCUAAGGGUUGGGUACGUUGGGCCUUGGGGAGAAGCCUC